This 555-nucleotide long non-coding RNA is filed under the name Pan troglodytes (chimpanzee). Its description in RNAcentral is "long non-coding RNA NONPTRT003825". The record is from RNAcentral. Lineage: Eukaryota; Metazoa; Chordata; Mammalia; Primates; Hominidae.
UGCUAGGUUGCUGUGCUGUUUCUCCUACUGUCUUGCUGCCGCACCACCCCUCAGAAAAACCGGGUCGUCAGUUUCCUGCGGUUUGCACACUCACCACAUAUAAUUAACAAUUUGCAAUUCACCCGCAGGAUUAUUCCAGCCUCUGUGAUCACACACAGAAGGAUGAGCCUUCCUCGUGAGGGUUGGAGAUGGAGGGAGAAGGGAUGGAGAGUAAGGAUGGGACGGAGGUUGUGGAGCAGAAGACCAACACGCCAGUUGGAAUUCCAAGGCACCUUAGAAACAAGACAUGCCUAGAAAAUUUGACUAUGUGUCCACAAGGCUGGAACUGAAUCAAUAAUAAUUGCUUCUUUCAAUCUGAACAUGAAACAACGUGGAUCAAUGGCUGAGAAAACUGCAGAAGUUAUGGAUCUCUGGCCAGGCUCAACUCUCAGAAUGAAAUGGGAAUCUUUGAUGCAUUAUCUGGGGCCAUCUUUAUAUUGGUUUGAACUGAGCAAGCACAAUGCAAACAAAACGUGGAUGUGGGCAGAUGGAGCUACAUUCAGCAAUUGGUAAGCC